CGACACCCGCCGCCACACAAAGGCGCUGCGUCCUGGCGGCCAGCGGGGGCUUAGUCUAGGCCCGGCAGGGUUUUCUGGAAGACCAGAGGGCCACCAGGUCACCGAGGUGGGAAGUGAAGAGAGGUUCGACGCUGCCUCAGGCCUGGGCCUGGCCGGUGGGAGACACAGCAAGGACUCUGGGAGCCUGCAGAGCAGAGGCCGCCGCGGGGCCGGGCCCCCGUCUCCUCCUCAGGUCCAAGACCAGAGGGUCUGCAGGGCCCCAGAGCAGCUGGCCGCGCUCCGCUUCCCACCGCGCUCUCUGCUGGAAUACAGGUCUAGGGGUCAGAAAUCUGCAAUCAGUUUCGGUGGACCAAAAUGAAAAUGUCAAACAGGGUGUCUGACACCCUCCAGAAGCACCAGAGGAGAAGCAGCUUUCCUUGGCCUUCCCAGGUUCUACAGGGACAUUCCUUGGCUCAUAGCUCCCCCUCCCAUUUUCUUUCUUUCUUUUCUUUUCUUUUCUUUUCUUUUCUUUUCUUUUUUUUCUUUUUUUUUUUUUUGAGACAGAGUCUCGCUCUGUCACCCAGGCUGGAGUGCAGUGGCGCCAUCUCGGCUCACUGCAAGCUCCGCCUCCCGGGUUCACGCCAUUCUCCUGCCUCAGCCUCCCGUAGCUGGGAUUACAGGCACCCGCCACCACGCUCGGCUAAUUUUUUGUACUUUUAGUAAAGACGGGGUUUCACCGUACUAGCCAGGAUGGUCUCGAUCUCCUGACCUCGUGAUCAGCCCGCCUCGGCCUCCCAAAGUGCUGGGAUUACAGGCGUGAGGCACCGCGCCCGGCCUCCUCCUCCCGUUUUCAAAGUCACCAGCGUAGCAUCCUGAUUCAAGAUCACAUUGUCUUCUUUUUUUUUUGUAGCCAAAUCUCCCUCUGCCUCUCUCCCCUGGUGACGACAAUGGCUGGGGUCUUGACUUGCGCAGAUCUGGAAACGGAGAAGGGACUGGAUCUCCAAACUUGGACUGCCUUGGACUGACCCUGGCCUGGAAGGUGUGGGCUCAGGACUCCGAGCUCAAGUCAGUCUGUUCCCCCAACCCCUAACCCACUGCAUCCGGGUGAGGAGUUGGGCCCGAGCGCCACAGCGCAGAUAGGGUUGUUAGGAGCGAAAGACUGGAGACCCAGGGACUGUGGGGCUGGGCUGGUGGGGCCACUGCUACCGACUAAGCAGUACGGGCCGCCUGGAAGACCGAAGGCGGAGUUCGCUGAUGCGGAAGCCAAGGCACAGGGCAAUAAGGAUCCGCGCCAUUUCUUGUGAUGUCACCUGAAGCCUUGGCGGGUAGCUGCCUCUCAUCCAUUCGGAGGACAGGGCUCCAGCCACCGGCAGCUCUGAAAGAGUUUGAAGAAUUUAUUGUUCACAGAUGGUAUUUAAAUGGACUUAUUUCUAAAAGUCACAUUCCUUUAUUACUUAUUUGUUAUUAGAAGUACCCAUUUUCAUAUGUGUUUAAAACUAUUUGUGUCUCAAAUUCUCAGGAGAUUGAUGCAUCCCAGUUUACUCUUUUUGGCAUAUGUUUUUACUCAUAAAUUAGGUUAAAUUUCAUACUUGUUUUAUAAAAUUUAGUUAUUUGGUUACAUUAAAAUAUUUGUAUCCAGAUAAGAAGUCUCUUCCUU
This 1636-nucleotide long non-coding RNA is filed under the name Homo sapiens (human). RNAcentral describes it as "HSALNT0103158". The record is from RNAcentral. Lineage: Eukaryota; Metazoa; Chordata; Mammalia; Primates; Hominidae.